AUAUAGCACUUUUCUACUCUCCCAGAGUACUCAAAGCACUCUAUUCAACAUACCACAUUCACUUUCUGCUUUUUAGUGCUUCCUAACUGUAGGAGCCAUUUUGGGGUUAAUGCCUUAUGUGGCCGCUAGAGGUCACCUUUUUCUGUUUUGCUCAUGUAAAGGUAUUUAAGGUAGACGCACGUAAUCAGCGUCAGGUGUGUCGUUAAGUGUGAGAAGGCAAACAGUUUGUGACCGCUGCGCUGUUAUGUCAAGAUGGCAUUGGAAUAAAGAACAAAAAGGACAAGAGAAGUACAGCUGGAUUUCUUGGACUGUUUACUUAAUUCAUACAUACCAGUGACAUCGCGUCACCCCCGUUAACGACCACCUCAGUGGCUUCAAGCGUAGGCUUAGCCUCUACAAUUAGAGUCACAAACUAGCUUUGCUAUGGGGAAAAGUUUGUGCCAACUGCGCCGCGGUGUUUUGGGGGCUCGGCGCAAACAGGACAAUUAAAGUCUGAGUGAUCGAUCGCCGUGGAGAGCUGAAUGCCGUUUGGAAACGUUUUACCGUGGAGGGUUCACGAGGAGCGGACAGCUGGAGUAUCGGUCUGUCAGCUGACGACGUGGGAUUCCUGGUGGCUGUUCCGUGGAAAUUGGAGAGGACUCAGAAUUCUUCAUCGGAAUCAGCACGGCGCCCAACGUAAGGGUUGCUGUUCAGUUUUCUGUCCAUGAUCACCUGACGAGCGUGAGCAUCUGCUGCUAAAAUACAAAAGUUCAGGGCAGAAAACACGUAGAGCAGAGGCCCGAGGCUGCACCUGUUCUCCGUAGUGUGGAUUAAAAGGUAAAAUUUGCCUUCACUUCUUUCUGUUACCAAUUUUCCCUUUUUCUUUUCCCUGUUUAUAUUUAUCCCAAUCUCUUUAUCCUUGUGUCAUUCCGUAUUACUCAUCCCUCUCUGUUUCUGUCUCACCUCCAUGGGUGGCUGAACAGCUGGGCAGAGAAGCAAAGUACUCUGAUCCAGACGUGCACCUGGACAAGACAAGACAAACCACAGCAACACCAAGAACAAAUGAGAGACAAAGGGUGAAUGCUGGAUAGCUGUGCAGUCAAAAUGCUGUUUUUCUAAAGAAACUCUGUAAUAUUAAACCACAACAAUCACAAGAUUACAAUGUCAGCUGCACUAUUACCAUUGAUGAAGGCAGCUGUUGGACCGAGAAUCGAUCUGUUUCCAUGUCCCUGCUCUUUCUCGUGGUGACUUUGAGUACUCGGGUUGUCCCCUCUCUGUGAAGCCAUGGCAUCAGACCCGAGGGAUGCAUCUUUCUUCUUGUGGGCAAACAAAAUCUCUUUGAGACAGCUGACUUUAAAUGACUGUCCGAGCAACACAAAUACUGGAAAAUACUGGAACAUGGUGUGGCUGCUACAUUCCCUGCCUGUAGGAUGUUGAUGGAUGCUGGACUGAAAUAAGUUCAGAUCUGUACCCAGUGUGACUCUGCAGAAAAUAGUUUUUGGUGGUGUCUAGUUUCACUGAAUGUGUGGCUGCAUCACAAACCAACCCAUGUUCACUGUGUGUUUCUAUAUAAUGUACAUAAACCACCAGCAUGUGGAUUUUAUGACACAGCUGUGAAGUGUUGAAGGAUUGUGUGGAUUUUAAAGAAAUGCAGCAUUUUCAGUUGCAAAACUGUGAUUUGCAACUGAAGGUUAUUGGCCAAAUUUUAAACGAGUAUAACUCUGUGUGUUUGUACUGACACCCUUUUAGGGCUUGUGAUUUUUUGUGUGUUUGUACCACACACUGCUCCGGCAGCAGGAAAACAGAAAACAUCACAAAACAGCACCGUGCUGCCCCGAGCAUGCAGCAGCGAUCAGAGCCAGCGCUGCACUGCUGUCGUGUGUGUUCAUGCAGUAGGUUAAGGAAAAAUCCUUUUUUCCCAAUUAUAGGACAAAAUGGAGCUGAUUAGAAACCAUAAUUUAUUUAAACAAAUAAAACUAAACUAUUGCUUAGAUUUCAUGUGGCUUCUUGUUUUGUUUUUUUUGUUGUUUUUUGUAUUACAGCUAUAAAUGUAACAAACUAGUCAAAGCGGGGUUUUUUUUAAAUGAGAAAAAGUAACAAAGGAUUUACAUGAGCUUACAUUAGAAAAUACAUUAGAGCAAAGCAAACAGUACUCAGAGGUGUCCCAGUGAUUUUCAUUGCUUAAGUCCGUCUUUGUAUGUAUGAAAAUGCGCAUGUGUUAAUGUGUGUGUAUGGAUUCUUAAGGCAAAAUGUGUGUGUGUGUGUGUGUGUGUGUGUGUGUGUGUGGGCAGAGGUUAAUUUAGCCCAGCAGUGAAGAGCCCUUGAUAAAGAGCAGCCUGAUCCCUGUUUAAUUACCUUCCGUCUACAUUUCAUUGGCGUACACUGGGCCAUAGGUGUGUCUGUGUGCGUGUGAUGAAUGUGGGAUUUGUCUCUGAGCAGGGACACCCACGAGACACGGUGCCUUCAGUGGGUAUGUGAGCCUGUACUUGUCUGACAUUUAUCUACCUGUGUGUGUGUGUGUGUGUGUGUGAGCACAAACUGGUUUGCUAUAUGAGGUUUGACAUGUCAUUCUUAUUUCUUUCACUGUUUUAUACUUUAAACACUCUAGGAGGAUCAGUCUGACUCCACGCUGGGAAGAAUGAGUCUGGUAUUUUAUAUCAGAAUAAAAGCCAAAUAGGGAAGACUUCACUGAAAUCAUGUUUUCUCUUUGCAGAAUUUAUAUAAAUUAGUUACUAAAAAGUGCCCGCUUAGACAGUCGAGCACUGAAGCAGCAUAGUAAAACAUCAAAAGGCACAAUUCAAAUAUACAUAAAAGUGAGAAAACGACAGAACAAAAAGCUGUUUUUGUUAAACCUAAUAAUGGAUUAUAUUUAACUGUGUGCAUAUUUGAGAAGGGACGGGCCUCUGAGUGUUCUGAUAUUCGACAACAGUCUGCCAAAGCAUUAAUUCAACCAACAGAUGAAUUCCUAGUAAUACAAAACUCAACUUUUUAAUUAAAAAUAAUUGUUUUAAUUUCAGAUUUUUUGAGGCCCCUGCCUUUGUUGUGUUUGCCCAUUUUGGCCCUAAUUUAGUCCCACUAUUCUGCUCACUAUGACACCCCUGGUGCAAGGGCACAGAAGGAAGAGAGUAAAACCGAAAGAAAGAAGCUGAGACAUGUGGAGAAAGAUGGUCAGCAGGUGGGAAACAAGGAAACCGGUAAAAUGUGUGUACUCAGGAAAGAGAGUUUGAGAAGAAGACAUGGGGGGCAGAUAAGAAAUGGAAAGGUUCCAGGAUGGAGGGAAAGGAGUGGAGGAAGAGAGCGGUGGUGAGUAAUGAUGGUGUGUCCCUGCAGCGCUCACACACAGAGAAAUAACUGUGACUGAACACACACACAAAUGUGAAUGUGCAAAUUCUUAUUUUAUCUUAAUGCUGCAAAAAGUCAUCAUGAUAGAUCACACCACAAGGAUAAACCUGACUUUAACUCUGUGUGCGCCUAAUUAUGGAUGAGCUGCUGCUCUUGUAUUUCUAAUCAUUUAGACGCUUACUUUAAGGGGAAAUAUUUCUUAUUGCUGGGUAAAUACUGUGUGACUCACACACACACCUCAGGACCAACC
RNAcentral lists this long non-coding RNA (3571 nucleotides) under Oreochromis niloticus (Nile tilapia). Its description in RNAcentral is "lncRNA (ENSONIG00000039889.1)". Lineage: Eukaryota; Metazoa; Chordata; Actinopteri; Cichliformes; Cichlidae. The record is from RNAcentral.